Molecule: ribosomal RNA, 159 nt
Filed under: uncultured bacterium
Lineage: Bacteria
Description: partial 16S ribosomal RNA
Rfam family: Bacterial small subunit ribosomal RNA
Source: RNAcentral
CUACGGGAGGCAGCAGUGGGGAAUUUUGGACAAUGGGCGCAAGCCUGAUCCAGCCAUGCCGCGUGAGUGAAGAAGGCUUCGGGUUGUAAAGCUCUUUCAGCCGGGAAGAAAAGGUUGCGAUUUAAUAAUCGCAAUUUAUGACGGUACCGGAAGAAGAAG